CUCAUCAGAUGUUGUUGAUUUGUUUUGUCAUGCUCAUCACAAAUCAAAUCAUAAUGUUAUGUUUAUUGUUUUGGGUGCUUGAGGAAGAAGAAGCUCCUCCUGAACUUGAUAUUGAUGAGAUUGAGAAUCUUCUUUAUCGUGGUGAUAGUGCGAUUCCAAUUGUUGGUGAUUCAUUGAGAAACCAUCAAGGCGACUAACAAUUUGAUACUAUGGAGUUUCAAGUUGAUGAAGACAGUGGUGUUGAUGGAGAUGAUGGUAUUGAAGAUAUUGUCAUUCCGAGGGUCAUAAUUGAUUACGGAGCAACAAGCCUCGAUGACUAUAAUGAUUGACAAUUGUAUCAAUUAUUUUGUUUCUAUGUUGUUAAUGACAUAAUGUACACUGUUA
This is a long non-coding RNA of Medicago truncatula (barrel medic), 384 nucleotides long. RefSeq lists it as uncharacterized. The record is from RefSeq and is a predicted model, not a curated record. NCBI's taxonomy places the organism in Eukaryota, Viridiplantae, Streptophyta, Magnoliopsida, Fabales, Fabaceae. The transcript has 2 exons.